GCUGGAAGCGAUGGCUCACGCCUGUAAUCCCAGUGACCCAGGAGGCUGAGGCAGGAGGAUCUCGAGUUCAAAGCCAGCCUCAGCAAAAUCAAGGCACUAGGCAACUCAGUGAGAUCCUGUCUCUA
Molecule: small RNA, 125 nt
Filed under: Marmota monax (woodchuck)
Lineage: Eukaryota; Metazoa; Chordata; Mammalia; Rodentia; Sciuridae
Source: RNAcentral